CGUGUAGGCGGUCUGGUAAGUCAGAUGUGAAAGCCCUGGGCCCAACCCAGGAAGUGCAUUUGAAACUGCCAUUCUUGAGUAUGGGAGAGGAGAGUGGAAUUCCCAGUGUAGAGGUGAAAUUCGUAGAUAUUGGGAGGAACACCCGUGGCGAAGGCGGCUCUCUGGACCAAUACUGACGCUGAGACGCGAAAGCGUGGGGAGCAAACA
RNAcentral lists this ribosomal RNA (207 nucleotides) under uncultured bacterium. RNAcentral's name for it is "partial 16S ribosomal RNA". It matches the Rfam family "Bacterial small subunit ribosomal RNA", at positions 568 to 774 of the family's 1533-position model. The record is from RNAcentral.